GGGCCCGCACAAGCGGUGGAGCAUGUGGUUUAAUUCGAUGAUACGCGAGGAACCUUACCAGGGCUUAAAUGUAGUCUGACAGAUUUGGAAACAGAUUUUUCUUCGGACAGAUUACAAGGUGCUGCAUGGUUGUCGUCAGCUCGUGCCGUGAGGUGUCAGGUUAAGUCCUAUAACGAGCGCAACCCCUGUUGUUAGUUGCCAGCGAGUAAUGUCGGGAACUCUAGCAAGACUGCCGGUGCAAACCGUGAGGAAGGUGGGGAUGACGUCAAAUCAUCACGGCCCUUACGUCCUGGGCCACACACGUGCUACAAUGGUAGGUACAGAGAGCAGCCACGUCGCAAGGCGGAGCGAAUCUAUAAAACCUAUCACAGUUCGGAUCGGGGUCUGCAACUCGACCCCGUGAAGCUGGAAUCGCUAGUAAUCG
RNAcentral lists this ribosomal RNA (424 nucleotides) under uncultured bacterium. RNAcentral describes it as "bacterial SSU rRNA". It matches the Rfam family "Bacterial small subunit ribosomal RNA", at positions 917 to 1344 of the family's 1533-position model. The record is from RNAcentral.